Molecule: ribosomal RNA, 453 nt
Filed under: uncultured organism
Description: bacterial SSU rRNA
Rfam family: Bacterial small subunit ribosomal RNA
Source: RNAcentral
GUGCAGUAGUCCGAAUUUUCUCAAUGGGGGCAACCCUGAAGGAGCGACGCCGCGUGGAGGAUGAAGGCUUUCGGGUUGUAAACUCCUGUCAUUUGAGAACAAGUGGCCGGACAUAACUACUUCGGCCUUGAUAGUAUCAGAAGAGGAAGGGACGGCUAACUCUGUGCCAGCAGCCGCGGUAAUACAGAGGUCUCAAGCGUUGUUCGGAUUCAUCGGGCGUAAAGGGUGCGUAGGUGGCGCCGUAAGUGGGGUGUGAAAUCCCGAGGCUUAACCUCGGGACUGCAUUCCAUACUGCGGUGCUUGAGGACUGGAGAGGAGACUGGAAUUUACGGUGUAGCAGUGAAAUGCGUAGAGAUCGUAAGGAAGACCAGUGGCGAAGGCGGGUCUCUGGACAGUUCCUGACACUGAGGCACGAAGGCCAGGGGAGCAAACGGGAUUAGAUACCCGUGUAGU